RNAcentral lists this long non-coding RNA (1069 nucleotides) under Homo sapiens (human). RNAcentral's name for it is "non-protein coding lnc-DDTL-2:1". The record is from RNAcentral. Lineage: Eukaryota; Metazoa; Chordata; Mammalia; Primates; Hominidae.
GCGCUGGAGCCCCAGACCAAGGAGGGAAACCAAGGACCAGAGCCAAGGAAGGAUUCCCCUAAUGUGCCUUAAUUCCACAGCUACCACCUGCACACUUACACUCACACACUGUUCGACACACAGCCACACUCACACACACAUCCACCCACGUCCACCCACAGUCACACGAUGUAUCACAUUCACACGUAUACACCCACACACACAAUCAUAACAUUUACACACAGUCACACAGUUAACUCCUAUACACACAUAUACACCCACACAAUCACACAACUCACUCAUAUUCAACAAAGUCACACAACUCACUCACAUUGACACACAUACACACCAACCCCACACACAAUUCACAUACAUACACACACAUAUACACCCACAUACACAACCACACCAUUCACUGACAUUAAUACAAAGUCAUCACACAGUUCACUCCCACACACACACAUACACCUCACACACACAGGCACACAAUUCACACCAACAAAAUCACACAGUUCACUCAUUCACACACAUACACCCACAUACACAAAUUCACACUGCUCAGUCACAUUUACACACCAUUCAAAUUCACACACAUAUACACCUACAUACACACAGUUCACUCACAUCACACACAUAUACACCCACAUACACACAGUUCACUCACAUCACACACAUAUACACCCACACAUAAACACAGUCACACAAUUCACUCACGUUCACACACACAGUUCACUGACAUUCGCACACAUACACACACACCACACACAGGCAAUUCAGUCACAUGGCCGAAAGCCAGUCCUUACCUUCCUAUAGUUCCUUUCCCAGUGUCACCUCAGCCUUUGGCCCUCAGCGUCCCCUUCCCAUGCCUGGACUGCGGAAGAGCCCUGAACACACCCCAUCUUCAUGCCUCCAGCGCUAGCCCGAGCCCUUCCCUCUGCCAAGAGCACUAAGUGCAACUCAAGAUCACUUCUAGGGACCCUUCCCUGCCCCUGCUGCCAGGUGACCUGAGGAUCCUGCUGGUCCCGCUUGACAAUGAUGCACAGCAUGGUUAGUUCAGCUGAGGUCGCUCUCCCAGACUUACUGCCACCUA